GUGGGGAAUAUUGGACAAUGGGCGCAAGCCUGAUCCAGCCAUGCCGCGUGAGUGAUGAAGGCCUUAGGGUUGUAAAGCUCUUUCAGUGGGGACGAUAAUGACGGUACCCACAGAAGAAGCCCCGGCUAACUUCGUGCCAGCAGCCGCGGUAAUACGAAGGGGGCUAGCGUUGUUCGGAUUUACUGGGCGUAAAGCGCACGUAGGCGGAUCGUUAAGUCGGGGGUGAAAUCCUGGAGCUCAACUCCAGAACUGCCUUCGAUACUGGCGAUCUUGAGUCCGGAAGAGGUGAGUGGAACUCCUGGUGUAGAGGUGGAAUUCGUAGAUAUUAGGAAGAACACCAGUGGCGAAGGCGGCUCACUGGUCCGGUACUGACGCUGAGGUGCGAAAGCGUGGGGAGCAAACAGGAUUAGAUACCCGAGUAGUCC
This 425-nucleotide ribosomal RNA is filed under the name uncultured bacterium. RNAcentral's name for it is "partial 16S ribosomal RNA". It matches the Rfam family "Bacterial small subunit ribosomal RNA", at positions 354 to 796 of the family's 1533-position model. The record is from RNAcentral.